UACGAAGGGUGCAAGCGUUGCUCGGAAUCACUGGGCGUAAAGCGCACGUAGGCGGCUUCUUAAGUCAGGGGUGAAAUCCUGGAGCUCAACUCCAGAACUGCCUUUGAUACUGAGAAGCUUGAGUCCGGGAGAGGUGAGUGGAACUGCGAGUGUAGAGGUGAAAUUCGUAGAUAUUCGCAAGAACACCAGUGGCGAAGGCGGCUCACUGGCCCGGUACUGACGCUGAGGUGCGAAAGCGUGGGGAGCAAACAGG
This 253-nucleotide ribosomal RNA is filed under the name uncultured bacterium. RNAcentral describes it as "partial 16S ribosomal RNA". It matches the Rfam family "Bacterial small subunit ribosomal RNA", at positions 524 to 776 of the family's 1533-position model. The record is from RNAcentral.